RNAcentral lists this long non-coding RNA (1800 nucleotides) under Gossypium barbadense (sea-island cotton). Its description in RNAcentral is "long non-coding RNA (GBAR_LNC021992)". Lineage: Eukaryota; Viridiplantae; Streptophyta; Magnoliopsida; Malvales; Malvaceae. The record is from RNAcentral.
UAAUAAUUAUAUAGGUACACUUGUAAUAAAAAUAAAUAUAUGCUUAAAUAAUAAGUAAAAGGUUUUUUUAUAAUAAUAUAUUAUUAAUAUUAUUAGUUAAAAUAAAAGAAAUAAAGUAAGUAAAUAAAACAAAAGAAGAACAGAAAAGAAACAGAGAAAGAGACGAAAAGAGGGGAAGAAAAAGGGGAAGAAAAGAAAGGGGAAAAUUUGAGAUUUUAAAGCUUCAAGUUUAAUUGGUAAGCUAAAUUUAGCCCUUUUCUCUUAAUUUUGAUGUUUUAGAAGCUUUAAAACAAAGUUUUGUUGAAAUUAAGGGGAGGUUAUGGAAGUUCAUAGGUUUUUGAACAUUUUUCAUUUUGAACAAGUUGUUAAAUUAGGGGUUUAGUUGAUAGAAUUUCUAGUUAGAAUAGAUAAAAGGAUUAAAUUGUAAACUAAGUUAUAAGUUUUACAUAGUUGGGAUUAAGUUAUAAAAAGCCUUAAAUUAGGGUUUAGUUAUGAAUAUAGAAUAGUUGAGUUAAAUAUGGCAAGAAAUUAAGUAGAAAAGAAGUAUGAAUUAAGUUAGAAAAUUAAGUAAGCUUAGUUAGAAUUAAAUUGGGAAUAAGUAGGAAUUGAAUAAAAUUUAAUUAUUAUUUUUUUAUGUUGUAAUUAAUAGUGAAAAUAAUUAUUAUUUUCGUAGCUAACAAGGAAAACGAGGCAUCGGCAUCCAAAGGAAAAGAAAAGAUCGUUGAGGAGUAAACACAUAUUCCGGGUUUGUAUUACUAUAACUUAAACUAUUUACUAAAUGCUAUAUUAAAAUUGUAAUCAUGGGACAUUUAAAGUAAGGUAAGUAAUAACAUUUGAAAUUAAGUAAGAAUAUGUGUGAAUAUUGAAUUAUAUGUGAAUUGAAAUAAUAGAUGUUUUGAAUUGUUUGAAUAUUUGAAAUUGUUGUGGAAAUGAAUUCGAAAUUGGAAAAGUAAAAUAAUACCCUAUUAACUUAUAGGACUAGAUUGGAUACAAAUGGCAUGCCAUAGGAUUUGUGAUGUGACAAGGAGAUUUGUAGUUCGGCCGAGAAGAUGAUUCUGUUAUUAUAUGCUUCGGUUUAUCCGAAGAGGCAUCUAAUGCCUUAUUGGUGUGUUUGGAGGUUAUGAUAUACUGGUGUGUUAUGGAGGAUUUAUAUUAUUCCGAAUGUGAUUAGGUUGGAUAUUCUGGUGUGUUUGGGUGGAAUCUGAGUAUCUGUCAGAGUCCGAGCCUUGUUAAUAGGGUAAAUAAUUGAAAUGAAAAUUUGAAAAUAAGAUUGGUUGAUUUGACACUAUUGAAAAAUACGAGAAAGAAUGUAUGAGUUAAAUUAUGAAUUGAAUUAGUAUGUAAUAUAUAUAUAUGAAUUUAAGAUUUGUGAAGUGAUAUAUAAAUAUGUAUAUUUAGUUUAAGUGAUUUAUAAGCUUAUGGUCGAUGUUUGAAAUUUUAUUAUUAUUAAAUAGUUUAAUUUAUAGUAAUACCACUGAGUAUGAAAUACUCAGCAUACGGUUGUUUCCGUGCUCAGGUUGUAGAAGUUAAGUACAGAACCAGCAUCCAAAACCAGACCCAACUUCAACAAAUUUUGGUGAUGUAUAUUUUCUUUUGGUAAUGUGGCAUGUACAUAGGAUGUGUAUAAAUGUUAUUAUGUUUUGAAUAUAAAUAGUUAAAAAUGUUAGUAGUAUAAGUCUAAGAAUUUUAAUGAAAGAAGUUUAUCCAUUUCAAUUUAAUUAGUACAUUGAUAAAUUUAAAUUGAUAUUAAGUUGAUUGAGUUUGAUUAGAAGGUAUUUAGAAUAGAAAAUGAGAAUGUGA